Non-coding RNA from Cyprinus carpio (common carp), 987 nucleotides. The record is from the annotation of a RefSeq genome assembly. NCBI's taxonomy places the organism in Eukaryota, Metazoa, Chordata, Actinopteri, Cypriniformes, Cyprinidae.
AAUAGAUAUUUUUGUACAAUAUCCAUGGCUAAAACUGUCAGUGUGACAAUGCUUUUGACUACUGGGGGAAAGGAACCAUGGUCAUGGUCUCGUCAGCUCAACCAUCUCCACCAAAGUCAAUCUUCGCCAUGUCCCAGUGUACUCCUGAUUCUACUGGGUUCGUCACCAUCGGCUGCAUGGCAAGAGGUUUCUCACCUGCGGACUCGCUGACUUUUAAAUGGACGGAUUAUAAUACGAAGGAGUUGAGUGAUGUCGUGCAGUAUCCAGCAUUCGGGAGUGGUGAAGAAUAUACCAAAGUCAGCCAUGUGCGUAUCAGUAAAAGUAACUGGGAUCCUAAAAACCCUUACACAUGUAAAGCUUCAAAUUCUGAAGGCACCUCACUAGAGGUUAAAAUUGCUAAAGCUGAAGCUAAAGCUAAAGCUCCAGAUGGAGAGAAACCCACUGUUUUCAUUUACAGACCUGAUAAUAUUAACACAGAUCGGGUCUCUCAUGUGUGUGAGGUCACCAGCCCUAAACUCGGCAAUGUCAGUGUAAUGUGGAAAGUGGGUAAUGAGCCUUACAUAAAGGGCACAACCAGUGCUCCCAUCCGUCAAAACGACUCCACAUCUGUUCUCAGCAUCCUAACAAUGACCAAACAAGAGUAUGAAAAGCUCAGCACCAGCAUCACCUGUGCAGUAAGAUAUGGCAACAUGAAAGAUACAAAUGCUCCGUUACAAGUGUCAACAAGCAAAAGUGAGCCAACUGAACCAGAGACAGGCUUUGCUCUGGACUGUAAUAAAGAUGUUCUUGAGGAGGAUGAGUUCAGAAGUCUCUGGUCCACUGCCACCUCAUUCAUCUUCCUCUUCCUCUUCUCUCUGACCUACAGCGCUGUGCUCAGCUUCUUCAAGGUGAAGCAGUGAUGAUUUGUUAAAAGAACUUGUGAAGACCCCAAGGUUUCUUGUUUGUUUUGUGACUGUAAUUAAAUGUUAGUCUAAUGUAUUUAGAAAU